AACGCUGCCGGCGUGCCUAACACAUGCAAAUCGAGCGGGUUUCUACAGCGCACCGUAGGAACUAGCGGUAAACGGGUGAGUAACACGUAAGAAACCUUCCCUAAAAUGGAGAAUACCCUCGAGAAAUCGAGGUUAAUGCUGCAUAAGACCACAUUCCGGCAUCGGAAAGGGGUCAAAGGCCCGCAAGGGUCGUUUUAGGAUGGUCUUGCGUCCUAUCAGCUAGUUGGUGAGGUAACGGCUCACCAAGGCUAUGACGGGUAGCCGGCCUGAAAGGGCGAUCGGCCACACUGGAACUGAGACACGGUCCAGACUCCUACGGGAGGCAGCAGUGGGGAAUUUUGGACAAUGGGCGAAAGCCUGAUCCAGCAACGCCGCGUGAAGGACGACGGUCUUCGGAUUGUAAACUUCUUUUGUAGGGAACGAAAAAAAUGACGGUACCCUAAGAAAAAGCAACGGCUAACUACGUGCCAGCAGCCGCGGUAAUACGUAGGUUGCAAGCGUUACUCGGAUUUACUAGGCGUAAAGCGCAUGUAGGUGGUUGGAUAAGUCUGCAGUGAAAUUUCCCGGCUUAACUGGGAAGGGUCUGCAGAAACUGUCUGACUUGAGUGUGGUAGGGGGAGACGGAAUUCCAGGUGUAGCGGUGAAAUGCGUAGAUAUCUGGAGGAACACCAAUGGCGAAAGCAGUCUCCUGGACCAAUACUGACACUGAGGUGCGAAAGCUAGGGGAGCAAACAGGAUUAGAUACCCUGGUAGUCCUAGCUGUAAACUAUGUUCACUAGAUGUGGGAGGUAUCGACCCCUUCCGCGUCGACGCUAACGCAUUAAGUGAACCGCCUGGGGAGUACGGCCGCAGGGUUGAAACUCAAAG
RNAcentral lists this ribosomal RNA (867 nucleotides) under uncultured bacterium. RNAcentral describes it as "bacterial SSU rRNA". It matches the Rfam family "Bacterial small subunit ribosomal RNA", at positions 32 to 906 of the family's 1533-position model. The record is from RNAcentral.